GACGAACGCUGGCGGCGUGCUUAACACAUGCAAGUCGAACGGAAAGACCCUGCUUUUGUGGGGUGCUCGAGUGGCGAACGGGUGAGUAACACGUGAGUAACCUGCCCUUGACUUUGGGAUAACUUCAGGAAACUGGGGCUAAUACCGGAUAGGAGCUCCUGCUGCAUGGUGGGGGUUGGAAAGUUUCGGCGGUUGGGGAUGGACUCGCGGCUUAUCAGCUUGUUGGUGGGGUAGUGGCUUACCAAGGCUUUGACGGGUAGCCGGCCUGAGAGGGUGACCGGCCACAUUGGGACUGAGAUACGGCCCAGACUCCUACGGGAGGCAGCAAUGGGGAAUAUUGCACAAUGGGCGGAAGCCUGAUGCAGCAACGCCGCGUGCGGGAUGACGGCCUUCGGGUUGUAAACCGCUUUCGCCUGUGACGAAGCGUGAGUGACGGUAAUGGGUAAAGAAGCACCGGCUAACUACGUG
Molecule: ribosomal RNA, 468 nt
Filed under: uncultured bacterium
Lineage: Bacteria
Description: partial 16S ribosomal RNA
Rfam family: Bacterial small subunit ribosomal RNA
Source: RNAcentral